This 126-nucleotide microRNA precursor is filed under the name Hordeum vulgare. Its description in RNAcentral is "microRNA MIR1122". It matches the Rfam family "MIR1120/MIR1122 microRNA precursor family". The record is from RNAcentral. Lineage: Eukaryota; Viridiplantae; Streptophyta; Magnoliopsida; Poales; Poaceae.
AAAAUACUCCCUCCGUCCCGAAUUAGUUGUCAUAGAAAUGGAUGUACCCUAGACAGAUUUUAAUUCUAGAUACAUUCAUUUCUUUUCAUUUUAAUGACAAGUAAUUCCGGACGAAGGGAGUAUCAG